Molecule: ribosomal RNA, 252 nt
Filed under: uncultured bacterium
Lineage: Bacteria
Description: partial 16S ribosomal RNA
Rfam family: Bacterial small subunit ribosomal RNA
Source: RNAcentral
UACAGAGGUCCCAAGCGUUGUUCGGAUUCACUGGGCGUAAAGGGUGCGUAGGUGGCGGGGUAAGUUUGAUGUGAAAUCUCCGGGCUUAACCCGGAAAUGGCAUUGAAUACUAUUCUGCUGGAGGUUGGAGGGGGGACUGGAAUUCUCGGUGUAGCAGUGAAAUGCGUAGAUAUCGAGAGGAACACCAGUGGCGAAGGCGAGUCCCUGGACAACACCUGACACUGAGGCACGAAAGCUAGGGGAGCAAACAGG